This 468-nucleotide ribosomal RNA is filed under the name uncultured bacterium. RNAcentral's name for it is "partial 16S ribosomal RNA". It matches the Rfam family "Bacterial small subunit ribosomal RNA", at positions 28 to 507 of the family's 1533-position model. The record is from RNAcentral.
GGCGAACGCUGGCGGCGUGCUUAACACAUGCAAGUCGAACGGAAAGGCCCUGCUUUUGUGGGGUGCUCGAGUGGCGAACGGGUGAGUAACACGUGAGUAACCUGCCCCUGACUUUGGGAUAACUUCAGGAAACUGGGGCUAAUACCGGAUAGGAGCUCCUGCUGCAUGGUGGGGGUUGGAAAGUUUCGGCGGUUGGGGAUGGACUCGCGGCUUAUCAGCUUGUUGGUGGGGUAGUGGCUUACCAAGGCUUUGACGGGUAGCCGGCCUGAGAGGGUGACCGGCCACAUUGGGACUGAGAUACGGCCCAGACUCCUACGGGAGGCAGCAGUGGGGAAUAUUGCACAAUGGGCGGAAGCCUGAUGCAGCAACGCCGCGUGCGGGAUGACGGCCUUCGGGGUGUAAACCGCUUUCGCCUGUGACGAAGCGUGAGUGACGGUAAUGGGUAAAGAAGCACCGGCUAACUACGUG